This 511-nucleotide ribosomal RNA is filed under the name uncultured bacterium. RNAcentral describes it as "bacterial SSU rRNA". It matches the Rfam family "Bacterial small subunit ribosomal RNA", at positions 28 to 524 of the family's 1533-position model. The record is from RNAcentral.
GAUGAACGCUAGCUACAGGCUUAACACAUGCAAGUCGAGGGGCAUCGGGAAGAAAGCUUGCUUUCUUUGCCGGCGACCGGCGCACGGGUGAGUAACGCGUAUGCAACUUACCUAUCAGAGGGGGAUAACCCGGCGAAAGUCGGACUAAUACCGCAUGAAGCAGGGAUCCCGCAUGGGAAUAUUUGCUAAAGAUUCAUCGCUGAUAGAUAGGCAUGCGUUCCAUUAGGCAGUUGGCGGGGUAACGGCCCACCAAACCGACGAUGGAUAGGGGUUCUGAGAGGAAGGUCCCCCACAUUGGUACUGAGACACGGACCAAACUCCUACGGGAGGCAGCAGUGAGGAAUAUUGGUCAAUGGCCGAGAGGCUGAAACCAGCCAAGUCGCGUGAGGGAUGAAGGUUCUAUGGAUCGUAAAACCUCUUUUAUAAGGGAAUAAAGUGCGGGACGUGUCCCGUUUUGUAUGUACCUUAUGAAUAAGGAUCGGCUAAACUCCGUGCCAGCAGCCGCAGUAAG